GUGGUUUGUCAUGAUAGUCCAUGACACCAUGUGCUUGUGCUUGCUGCAUUUUGCCCUUGGAUGAUUAAUUCUAUUCCUCCACUAGGUAUAACUUCAAUAAUAUUACAUUGAACAUUACUUGGCAAAUUUCUAUAUGUUUAAAAAAUUUACUACUUAUUCCUUCAACGCUGGGAUUGUUUCUCAAUUUGAAUAUCCAUGGACACAAUAGGACUUAUGAAGCAAGAAGUGGUACUUGUCCGCAAUGGAGAUGGACCCCCAGUGCAGAAAGUGGUGUAUGUCGACUUUGGUGACUACUGGGGCAUGAAGAGGGAAGAGCUUGCAAGUAGUCAUCGACAACAGGUACCAUAUGCCUUUGGAGAGAAGAAACCACAGACGAUAAAAGAUAAAUUAGAUGGAGAACCAAAGAGACAAAGAAGAAAAAGAUGCAGAGAUCAACAAGAAGCAAAGAAACGAGUAGAAGGAUCAGAAACAGCAGUAGAAGAAGCCUCUGCUUCUUGUGUCUCUGUACAUGGAGAGGAAGCAGAGAAACCAGCUGAGGAAGAACAAGAAGUAGAACAUAGGGCAGUAAGCAAUGGUUAAGUUGUGACCAGUUUAAUGAAGUGUUGUCGAUGGUUGAUGGUGACAUAAGGAAGACCAAUACCACCUACAGGGAGGCAAUUAGUAGCAGAGAGCGACUAGCAAUUUGUUUGAGGUAAAAAAUUAUCCAACUUAAUUAGAAAUGAGAAGUGAAAGAACAGCAAAAUAAAUCUUUGUUUAAAUUUCAAAUAUU
RNAcentral lists this unclassified non-coding RNA (769 nucleotides) under Nilaparvata lugens (brown planthopper). Its description in RNAcentral is "zinc finger protein 878-like, transcript variant X4". The record is from RNAcentral. Lineage: Eukaryota; Metazoa; Arthropoda; Insecta; Hemiptera; Delphacidae.